RNAcentral lists this ribosomal RNA (416 nucleotides) under uncultured bacterium. RNAcentral's name for it is "bacterial SSU rRNA". It matches the Rfam family "Bacterial small subunit ribosomal RNA", at positions 29 to 437 of the family's 1533-position model. The record is from RNAcentral.
AGUGAUCGCUGGCGGCGUGCUUAACACAUGCAAGUCGAGCGAAUUUUGGCAGCGUAUCGCCAAAGUUAGCGGCAGACGGGUGAGUAAUACUUGGGUAAUCUACCCUUGAGAGGGAAACAACCGGCCGAAAGGCUGGCUAAUGUCCCAUAAGACCACAGGAGCGGCAUGCUCCAGGGGGUCAAAGGUCCGCAAGGGCCGCUUGAGGAGGAACCCAAGUCCUAUCANGGUAGUUGGUGAGGUAACGGCUCACCAAGCCUUUGACGGUAGCCGGCCUGAAAGGGUGAUCGGCCACACUGGCACUGAGACACGGGCCAGACUCCUACGGGAGGCAGCAGUGGGAAUUUUGGACAAUGGGGCAACCCUGAUCCAGCGACGCCGCGUGAAGGAUGAAGGUCUUCGGGUUGUAAACCUCUUUC